GUCUUUACCGCAAAUAACACUGAAAUAUAUACAGGGCUGAUGCGAUCCCAAAAGCCCUCAAAGGAAAUCUCUACAUUUGUGUGUUUGGGUUUGAUAAAGUUGAAGAGUUGGAACGGUCUCAGUGCACUCAGUGUUUACUUGGCUGCUAUUAUCUUUUAUUUGUAGUCUGAUGUUGUCGCUUGGCGAGGAAUAAAUGAGCUCUGAACCAGAAAUGUGUUUGUGCAUGAGUAUGAGGGACUUCACAUGUGCAUAAAUACAAUAAAUAUGCAGGUGGGCAUCACGAAUGCCGACAAACACUCUCUCUCUAUAUUUUAUUUAUUUAUUAGUGAAAAUGUAAAAAAAAAGGGAUAAAUAGCUUGGAACAAUGGACGUCUAUUAGCUGUGCAGAACAUGAACACAAAUCCACUAUGUGACUGCGCACGUCUGAGAAUCAGACUCACUCGUCAGUGCAUUUGAAUAUGCAAAUGCCCCCCAUACAAAAGACCUUGACAAGCUGUUAUUAUGUGAUUCCAGUGGUUGCAGAUAGAGGCUGAAAGGAUAUUAGAGGACGGAGAACAACAGAGGCGAGGCUGCAGACGAAUGCCCGGGCCACGUUCGCAGAGUCUGAUGCUUCCAGCAGCGGGGGGAGAAAAAGAAACGAGAAGGAAGAAGAUGGGACGAGAAGAGCGAUGGAAUCUAAAGGUGGAGGAGGUGAGGAGUCGGGAUUAAACCGAGGAUGUAUGGGG
Oryzias melastigma (Indian medaka) is the source of this 725-nucleotide long non-coding RNA. RefSeq lists it as uncharacterized. The record is from RefSeq and is a predicted model, not a curated record. The transcript is spliced from 2 exons. NCBI's taxonomy places the organism in Eukaryota, Metazoa, Chordata, Actinopteri, Beloniformes, Adrianichthyidae.